GCGGGUGUGGUGGAAUUGGUAGACACGCAGGAUUUAGGUUCCUGUGCCGCAAGGCGUGAGAGUUCAAGUCUCUUCACCCGCACCA
This 85-nucleotide transfer RNA is filed under the name Canibacter oris. RNAcentral describes it as "tRNA-Leu". It matches the Rfam family "tRNA". From Rfam's summary of the family: Transfer RNA (tRNA) molecules are approximately 80 nucleotides in length. Their secondary structure includes four short double-helical elements and three loops (D, anti-codon, and T loops). Lineage: Bacteria; Bacillati; Actinomycetota; Actinomycetes; Micrococcales; Microbacteriaceae. The record is from RNAcentral. RNAcentral also lists the same sequence under 2 other names.